GUAGGUGAACCUGCGGAAGGAUCAUUGUCGAAACCUGCGAAAGCAGACCGCGAACACGUUCAAAACAACACCGGGGCCCCGGAGGUGGGGGCGACCCCCCCGCCGAGGCGCCGACCCCGCACSGYCCCCCACCCGGGGGSCCUUGCGGGCUAACGAACUCGGGCGCGGAAUGCGCCAAGGAAAACGCAAAUGGAGCGCUCCCCUCCCCGYCGAGUCCCGUCCGCGGGGCGAGSCGGGGAGAACGGGACGCCUAUCGAAUGUCUAAACGACUCUCGGCAACGGAUAUCUCGGCUCUCGCAUCGAUGAAGAACGUAGCGAAAUGCGAUACUUGGUGUGAAUUGCAGAAUCCCGUGAACCAUCGAGUCUUUGAACGCAAGUUGCGCCCGAAGCCWUUAGGCCGAGGGCACGUCUGCCUGGGCGUCACGCAUCGCGUCGCCCCCGCUCCCCCCAACCAAGGGGCGAGCGGGGGCGGAGAUUGGCCCCCCGUGCGAGCUCUUUAGCGCGCGCGGUCGGCCCAAAUGCGAAUCCGCCGUCGACGCACGUCGCGACCAGUGGUGGUUGAAUCCUCAACUCGCGUGCUGUCGCGCACCAAUGCCUCGUCGGUCCGGAGACACCGUCGGAACCCAACGGCGCGCGAGCUCACGCUCCGCGCCCACGACCGCGACCCCAGGUCAGGCGGGAUCACCC
Molecule: ribosomal RNA, 687 nt
Filed under: Lamium incisum
Lineage: Eukaryota; Viridiplantae; Streptophyta; Magnoliopsida; Lamiales; Lamiaceae
Description: eukaryotic LSU rRNA
Rfam family: 5.8S ribosomal RNA (bases 268-423)
Source: RNAcentral